This 2912-nucleotide ribosomal RNA is filed under the name Escherichia coli. Its description in RNAcentral is "23S ribosomal RNA". It matches the Rfam family "Bacterial large subunit ribosomal RNA". The record is from RNAcentral. Lineage: Bacteria; Pseudomonadati; Pseudomonadota; Gammaproteobacteria; Enterobacterales; Enterobacteriaceae.
UUAAGCGACUAAGCGUACACGGUGGAUGCCCUGGCAGUCAGAGGCGAUGAAGGACGUGCUAAUCUGCGAUAAGCGUCGGUGAGGUGAUAUGAACCGUUAUAACCGGCGAUUUCCGAAUGGGGAAACCCAGUGUGUUUCGACACACUAUCAUUAACUGAAUCCAUAGGUUAAUGAGGCGAACCGGGGGAACUGAAACAUCUAAGUACCCCCGAGGAAAAGAAAUCAACCGAGAUUCCCCCAGUAGCGGCGAGCGAACGGGGAGGAGCCCAGAGCCUGAAUCAGUGUGUGUGUUAGUGGAAGCGUCUGGAAAGGCGCGCGAUACAGGGUGACAGCCCCGUACACAAAAAUGCACAUAUUGUGAGCUCGAUGAGUAGGGCGGGACACGUGGUAUCCUGUCUGAAUAUGGGGGGGACCAUCCUCCAAGGCUAAAUACUCCUGACUGACCGAUAGUGAACCAGUACCGUGAGGGAAAGGCGAAAAAGAACCCCGGCGAGGGGGAGUGAAAAAGAACCUGAAACCGUGUACGUACAAGCAGUGGGAGCCUCUUAAUGGGGGUGACUGCGUACCUUUUGUAUAAUGGGUCAGCGACUUAUAUUCUGUAGCAAGGUUAACCGAAUAGGGGGAGCCGAAGGGAAACCGAGUCUUAACUGGGCGUUAAGUUGCAGGGUAUAGACCCGAAACCCGGUGAUUCUAGCCAUGGGCAGGUUGAAGGUUGGGUAACACUAACUGGAGGACCGAACCGACUAAUGUUGAAAAAAUUAGCGGAUGACUUGUGGCUGGGGGGUGAAAGGCCAAUCAAACCGGGAGAUAGCUGGUUCUCCCCGAAAGCUAUUUAGGUAGCGCCUCGUGAAUUCAUCUCCGGGGGUAGAGCACUGUUUCGGCAAGGGGGUCAUCCCGACUUACCAACCCGAUGCAAACUGCGAAUACCGGAGAAUGUUAUCACGGGAGACACACGGCGGGUGCUAACGUCCGUCGUGAAGAGGGAAACAACCCAGACCGCCAGCUAAGGUCCCAAAGUCAUGGUUAAGUGGGAAACGAUGUGGGAAGGCCCAGACAGCCAGGAUGUUGGCUUAGAAGCAGCCAUCAUUUAAAGAAAGCGUAAUAGCUCACUGGUCGAGUCGGCCUGCGCGGAAGAUGUAACGGGGCUAAACCAUGCACCGAAGCUGCGGCAGCGACACUAUGUGUUGUUGGGUAGGGGAGCGUUCUGUAAGCCUGUGAAGGUGGCCUGUGAGGGUUGCUGGAGGUAUCAGAAGUGCGAAUGCUGACAUAAGUAACGAUAAAGCGGGUGAAAAGCCCGCUCGCCGGAAGACCAAGGGUUCCUGUCCAACGUUAAUCGGGGCAGGGUGAGUCGACCCCUAAGGCGAGGCCGAAAGGCGUAGUCGAUGGGAAACAGGUUAAUAUUCCUGUACUUGGUGUUACUGCGAAGGGGGGACGGAGAAGGCUAUGUUGGCCGGGCGACGGUUGUCCCGGUUUAAGCGUGUAGGCUGGUUUUCCAGGCAAAUCCGGAAAAUCAAGGCUGAGGCGUGAUGACGAGGCACUACGGUGCUGAAGCGACAAAUGCCCUGCUUCCAGGAAAAGCCUCUAAGCAUCAGGUAACAUCAAAUCGUACCCCAAACCGACACAGGUGGUCAGGUAGAGAAUACCAAGGCGCUUGAGAGAACUCGGGUGAAGGAACUAGGCAAAAUGGUGCCGUAACUUCGGGAGAAGGCACGCUGAUAUGUAGGUGAAGCGACUUGCUCGUGGAGCUGAAAUCAGUCGAAGAUACCAGCUGGCUGCAACUGUUUAUUAAAAACACAGCACUGUGCAAACACGAAAGUGGACGUAUACGGUGUGACGCCUGCCCGGUGCCGGAAGGUUAAUUGAUGGGGUUAGCGGUAACGCGAAGCUCUUGAUCGAAGCCCCGGUAAACGGCGGCCGUAACUAUAACGGUCCUAAGGUAGCGAAAUUCCUUGUCGGGUAAGUUCCGACCUGCACGAAUGGCGUAAUGAUGGCCAGGCUGUCUCCACCCGAGACUCAGUGAAAUUGAACUCGCUGUGAAGAUGCAGUGUACCCGCGGCAAGACGGAAAGACCCCGUGAACCUUUACUAUAGCUUGACACUGAACAUUGAGCCUUGAUGUGUAGGAUAGGUGGGAGGCUUUGAAGUGUGGACGCCAGUCUGCAUGGAGCCGACCUUGAAAUACCACCCUUUAAUGUUUGAUGUUCUAACGUGGGCCCCUUACCGGGGGUUGCGGACAGUGUCUGGUGGGUAGUUUGACUGGGGCGGUCUCCUCCUAAAGAGUAACGGAGGAGCACGAAGGUUGGCUAAUCCCCGGUCGGACAUCAGGAGGUUAGUGCAAUGGCAUAAGCCAGCUUGACUGCGAGCGUGACGGCGCGAGCAGGUGCGAAAGCAGGUCAUAGUGAUCCGGUGGUUCUGAAUGGAAGGGCCAUCGCUCAACGGAUAAAAGGUACUCCGGGGAUAACAGGCUGAUACCGCCCAAGAGUUCAUAUCGACGGCGGUGUUUGGCACCUCGAUGUCGGCUCAUCACAUCCUGGGGCUGAAGUAGGUCCCAAGGGUAUGGCUGUUCGCCAUUUAAAGUGGUACGCGAGCUGGGUUUAGAACGUCGUGAGACAGUUCGGUCCCUAUCUGCCGUGGGCGCUGGAGAACUGAGGGGGGCUGCUCCUAGUACGAGAGGACCGGAGUGGACGCAUCACUGGUGUUCGGGUUGUCAUGCCAAUGGCACUGCCCGGUAGCUAAAUGCGGAAGAGAUAAGUGCUGAAAGCAUCUAAGCACGAAACUUGCCCCGAGAUGAGUUCUCCCUGACUCCUUGAGAGUCCUGAAGGAACGUUGAAGACGACGACGUUGAUAGGCCGGGUGUGUAAGCGCAGCGAUGCGUUGAGCUAACCGGUACUAAUGAACCGUGAGGCUUAACCU